This 274-nucleotide ribosomal RNA is filed under the name uncultured bacterium. Its description in RNAcentral is "partial 16S ribosomal RNA". It matches the Rfam family "Bacterial small subunit ribosomal RNA", at positions 523 to 796 of the family's 1533-position model. The record is from RNAcentral.
AUACGGAGGGUGCAAGCGUUACUCGGAAUCACUGGGCGUAAAGCGCGCGCAGGCGGUCUUUUAAGUUGGAUGUGAAAGCCUACGGCUCAACCGUAGAACUGCAUCCAAAACUAUUAGACUAGAGUGAGGGAGAGGAAGAUGGAAUUAGUUGUGUAGGGGUAAAAUCCGUAGAGAUAACUAGGAAUACCAAAAGCGAAGGCAAUCUUCUGGAACACUACUGACGCUGAGGCGCGAAAGCGUGGGGAGCAAACAGGAUUAGAAACCCUAGUAGUCC